This is a long non-coding RNA of Ictalurus punctatus (channel catfish), 3400 nucleotides long. The record is from Ensembl. Lineage: Eukaryota; Metazoa; Chordata; Actinopteri; Siluriformes; Ictaluridae.
GCUAUAUCUUCCAACUCUACAGGACGAAAUAAAAAAAAAAAAACCAACAACAAAAAAAAACCCACACAUCACACACCAGAGUAAGAUAUAAUGUAAAACUUUAUCAUAAUCGUAGAUGUGGAAAGCCCUGAGAACCACAGAUUUAAUAUCAAUAUUACUGAUGUGAACAAACCUGAAUAUUUAUUCAAAUAAAAUAAAAUAAAAAAAUCUAAUUUUUUUUUUUUUUUUUUUUGGGGGGGGGGACGACGACGACAAAGUGCUCCACUUUCGAAUACAAUCAGCACACAUCAGUUUUACAAGCGUUCACAUGAGUCUUGUCGUAAAUCUCGUUGUGAUUGGAAAAGGAAAAAAGAAAACCUAUCAUCAGUAAGAUCAUCAUUAGAAUUAGAUCAAUAACAGCAUUAUAAUAUCAUAACAACAGCAGUACAAAAAUAUGCACGAGGACCAUUGUUCAGUUUUCUGAAGCGACCGUUGUACAACUUUAAGCAAAAAAAAAAAACAAAAAACGAAACUCGAAGACAAAUGAGGUAUUCCAUAAACCAGUUGCACAUGCAUGUAUAAUACACAGACAGAUGUGGAGUCGAGGUGAAAUGGUGACACAGCUGCUGAUGUAGAUUCUGCUUUCAACACGCCAUCGCCGACUCCGUGACGAUGUCGAGGUGUGUGUGGUGUGUAGUGUGUAGUGAGCAAUAAGAUUUCUCAACAGGAACACACUCAACCCUUGGCCAGCAACAACACUGUCGAUUGAGUCAUCGUGAAUCUUGAUGAUUCGCAGUUGUGAUUUAUUUAUAGUGAUUCAAACGGAAAUCGGCGGCGUCUCGAAUCCGGCGACGCACCAAUCCGGUACGGAGCACGAGUACGAGUAUCGUAUGCUGUGAAAUUUCAGGUCACUGCAUACAGACACUCUGAGAUCUUUUGUACACUCUUCUGGCCACAAGCUUCAGAAUCUUUGACGGUGCAAUCUGAUUGGCUCUCUGCGAGCUCAUGUGCCGAAACGUCCGUUGGUGCAUCCCGAUACGUUUGAGACCGCGACGCCUUCUGGGUAAAGAUCCGUUCCUGUUAUAUAUCGUGUACACUUUUCCUUGGCGGCGAAAAGCUUCACGAUGUUUAAAAGCUGCAACCUGAUUGGCUCUCUGCACCGACACGAGCUGAUUCUCACGCGAGAAAACUUUCGGACGAGUGUUUCCGAUCACGAUAAAGGCACUGGACGCAAAAUAACAAAACAAAACAAAAAACAAUCAUGUUUCGUGAAGAAGUUAACGUCAUGUGUUUGCGGACUGUAAAAAAAAAAUUCGGUUCUUGGUCACGUUUAUUGACGAAACGUAUCGGAUUGUUUCCAAAGCCAAACGUCUUGAGACGUGAACCACGUGACGACCAUCUCGUGAAGCACACGCUCACGCCUCGGACAUUUCCCGUAGCUAACGUAGACGCUCGCAGAGAUUUGGCUCGGGAUCUGUGAGGACGUCGGUAUCAAAGAGUCAAACUGCGGUUCCUAUACUUUUGAGACUGCAGUGCAUUCUGGGUAAAGGAUUCAUUGAACUAAAGUACUCUUAGGGACAUUGUUUUUUAUAUGAUUAUAAUGUGGAAGUAGACGAGGGCGUGUCAAAAACAGUCGAGCAGCUUCUCUCUCUCUCUCUCACACACACACACACACACACACACACACGCACACACUUCCUUAAUGUAAACUGAAUACAUCUUGUACUUGAGCACCAUCUAAAGGCUGGUGAUCAGCAGAACACCUGGCGGUGAUGGAUUGUGGAUGAUAAAGUGACUAAUGUUUUAACUAUUAUAACCUGUUCAUCUAAUGUGCAAAUGAUCUCUCUCACACUUCUCUCUCACACACACACACACACACGCGCGCGCGCACGUGCACAUUCAAAACCAGGAGGUCUUUAAAAUCUACUCAAACAUGUAUAACCUGUUAGACCAGUUCACAUAAAUGUAAAAUAUAUAAAUAUGCCCGACACGGUGCGAGGCGCCGAUUGUGUUUUGUGCAGCUGGACUCGACAAACGGUUCUCUUCAAAAGCUUGAAGAAAAGAGCCUCGACAUUCUGCUCUGGAGAAAUCCUGAAACCCGUCCUGGUCUCUCCAGCGAUUAAGGCAACUACAGCGUCCUCUAACAGCAGCAGUUCAUUCGAGCGCCGAACUUUUCCCUGACUGUAUAAAGAAAAAGAAGAAGAAGAAGAAGAAAAAAGACUCACUGGACCCCAUGAGACGAGCGUCACGGCUGUAAACUGCUCUGUGUGUGUGUGAGGGGGGGGGGCAAAAUAUUAGAUUCACAAAUCUGACGCUUUAGAUCAGCAGCAUGGAGAAGCACAGAUCAUUCACAAGCAGCAGGUGAGCAUUUAAAGGAAGGUGAAGUUUUCAGGAAGGAUGGUCUGAGGUGUUUGGCAAAAUGUACUUCCUGAGUUUCGCCAGACGGAGCGAGUGAGAGACAACACUACGUGGUGUACAUCUUUCGGCACCUUCAGUGUUUUCAUGUUUAAAAAACAAAACAAACAAACAAACAAACAAAAAAAAAAACCCCCACACCCCUCAUAAAAGCGAUACGUGUCAGACCUCGACUUAAACGAUCUCCUAAACUAUUUAAUCCAAGAAUUAUUAACCGACAGAUCAGCUCCGAACAUCCCCUUUCCUCUCUCGACAAGAUCCUGGUGCUGGUUCUAGACUCGGUGCCGUCGAACUGUUCUGACCAAAGCUUCAAAGGCGAGUAGCAGAGAUCAUGCACGCGUCAGGAGGCUCGUGCGGUUCUCUCGGUAAUCUCUCGACGAAGCUAGUACGAACCCGUGAUCGUACAGCGGGUUGUCGGACGUGCGUGUCGCUUACUGUCGCUUCGCAAAGUAGCGGUUGCUACACGCCCGCGAGAGGCGAGGCGACUUCUUUCUUACGCGACGCGCCUUCACAAGUCGAAUCCUGCUCUCCGAGGAACAGCUUUACGUCAGAACUCGAGCGGGAAGAAGACGCCGGACGUUUAAGUUUUGUUCGCGCAGCCGGCGCGAACAAAACUACGCUAGAGCGCCGUCCUGCGUUCUUCCCAACUAAAACGUGGUUUUCCUUCUUUUAAGGAAGUCGGGAGUCUAACUACAGUUCGGGUUUCGAACCGGUCUAAAGAGCUCGUAAAAAGCAGCACCGGCACCGUGUCGAUAGACGAGGGGCUUCGUUAUUAAUCUCUCCUCUACGGAUAUUGUACGAAGUGGCAUCCAUAGAGUUCAGUUCUGGAGAAAACUUCACUGCGCGCCAAAGCCUCCGAGGCAACGGGUGCGCUGUACUGUACCUCGGGGUUACAGUCAGACAGACGGCAAGAAAGAAAGAAAGCGAGCGAGCUGCUCUUUGUAGUUCCUGAGAAAGCUGCCUUCCCACGACGAGAGGCAAAAGACCGAUGCGAUAUUCGACAGCG